GAUGAACGCUGGCGGCGUGCCUAAUACAUGCAAGUCGAGCGAACAGACGAGGAGCUUGCUCCUCUGACGUUAGCGGCGGACGGGUGAGUAACACGUGGAUAACCUACCUAUAAGACUGGGAUAACUUCGGGAAACCGGAGCUAAUACCGGAGAAUAUAUUGAACCGCAUGGUUCAAUAGUGAAAGACGGUUUUGCUGUCACUUAUAGAUGGAUCCGCGCCGCAUUAGCUAGUUGGGAAGGUAACGGCUUACCAAGGCAACGAUGCGUAGCCGACCUGAGAGGGUGAUAGGCCACACUGGAACUGAGCCGCGGACCAGAGUCCUACGGGAGGCAGCAGAAGGGAAUCUUACGCAAUGGGCGAAAGCCUGACGGAGCAACGCCGCGUGAGUGAUGAAGGUCUUCGGAUCGUAAAACUCUGUUAUUAGGGAAGAACAAAUGUGUAAGUAACUAUGCACGUCUUGACGGUACCUAAUCAGAAAGCCACGGCUAACUACGUG
Molecule: ribosomal RNA, 497 nt
Filed under: uncultured bacterium
Lineage: Bacteria
Description: partial 16S ribosomal RNA
Rfam family: Bacterial small subunit ribosomal RNA
Source: RNAcentral